CGCGGGGUAGAGCAGUUUGGUCAGCUCGCAAGGGUCAUAACCUUGAGGUCGCUGGUUCGAGUCCAGCCCCCGCUACCA
This 78-nucleotide transfer RNA is filed under the name subsurface metagenome. RNAcentral describes it as "tRNA-Met". It matches the Rfam family "tRNA". From Rfam's summary of the family: Transfer RNA (tRNA) molecules are approximately 80 nucleotides in length. Their secondary structure includes four short double-helical elements and three loops (D, anti-codon, and T loops). The record is from RNAcentral.